GUUGGCAACAUUUUCCCCUUUAAAAAAAAAAAAGAGAGAGAGAGAGAAAACUUCUUUACAUAAUCUGUAUUAUCACAUACAUUUGUAAGCAAUAUAUAGUCCAUGACUUCAUAACAGCAGGUAAAGGAGACCUUUAAGAUCUGGUACUCUUUUGACAGCAACUCUUAAGAUGCUUCUGUAUGUUGCAGGUAUGAAAUAUUCCUUUGAGGAAGCAGCGUGCUGCCCACUGGAGACUUUGUGUGUAAGUGAAAAUUGUGAGAUCUACUGGAGUAUGGGAAAGGAUGCCUUUAUGUUUCAAGUGGGCAGGAAGUUCAGAGAAGAAAGCAGGAGAGAAGAGAUUCAGGAUCGUAUCAGCUCUCCUAAGUAGCAGUUCACCAGCACAAUCAGUGGAUGUAUUACUCAUAGACAGCCUUGCAUGCAGGUAUGCCAAGAGGGAUCCCAGCUUGCACGAAAGCUACCACUCUAUCUGGGCCUCACAAAGAAUGUUUUGGCUUUGGGAUGAAGAAGUAUCUCAAAGAGAUGAGGGUCCUUCUGAAUCUGUGUUUUCCAAGCACCCAUUUCACUGCUGCUGUGAGGACACCUCGCCACUCUCAGCAUUGUGGGCGUUGUGCUUCUAAUUGGUACAUUGUGAAGAAAAUGGCUGCUGCCGCAAUGGAGAAAACAUGGUGAUACACAGCAAAGUAUUCUCCACCUGAGCCACUGCUCUCUCAUGCACAGAGCUAUAGGAGAUAAACAGUAAAGGCCUCUUUCUUCAAAUAGCUAUGAGUGUGAGUGUUUCCAGAGGAGCUGGAUUCCAUCUCCUGGGGAAAGGAUGUCCUGAAGGACCCAUGAUUCUGCACUUCUGAAGAAAUUUGAGAAAGAUGCAAAGCACUGCACCUGACACAUUUUGUUUCUCACAGUGCAAAGUCACUGAAAGAGUCCAAACUUGUCCUGCAACUUGGAAAAUAUUACCAUUUUUCCCCCUUUUACCAGCUU
Molecule: long non-coding RNA, 975 nt
Organism: Gallus gallus (chicken)
Lineage: Eukaryota; Metazoa; Chordata; Aves; Galliformes; Phasianidae
Source: Ensembl